Molecule: ribosomal RNA, 497 nt
Filed under: uncultured bacterium
Lineage: Bacteria
Description: partial 16S ribosomal RNA
Rfam family: Bacterial small subunit ribosomal RNA
Source: RNAcentral
GAUGAACGCUGGCGGCGUGCCUAAUACAUGCAAGUCGAGCGAACAGACGAGGAGCUUGCUCCUCUGACGUUAGCGGCGCACGGGUGUGUAACACGUGGAUAACCUCCCUAUCUUACUGGGAUAACUUCGGGACACCGGCUCUAAUACCGGAUAACAUCUUGAACCGCAUGGUUCAACAGUGAAAGACGGUCUUUCUGUCACUUCUAGAUGGAUCCGCGCCGCAUUAGCUAGUUGGUAAGGUAACGGCUUACCAAGGCAACGAUGCGUAGCCGACCUGAGAGGGUGAUAGGCCACACUGGAACUGAGACACGGUCCAGACGCCUACGGGAGGCAGCAGUAGGGAAUCGGACGCAAUGGGCGAAAGCCUGACGGAGCAACGCCGCGUGAGUGAAGAAGGUCUUCGGAUCGUAAAACUCUGUUAUUAGGGAAGAACAAAUGUGUAAGUAACUAUGCACGGCUUGACGGUACCUAAUCAGAAAGCCACGGCUAACUACGUG